This 528-nucleotide ribosomal RNA is filed under the name Triticum aestivum (bread wheat). RNAcentral's name for it is "partial small subunit ribosomal RNA". Lineage: Eukaryota; Viridiplantae; Streptophyta; Magnoliopsida; Poales; Poaceae. The record is from RNAcentral.
GGGGGUACCAAUGGGAGCGUAGAGCAUGUGCAUGAGCCGCCUCCAUCUAACACGGAGAGUGGUGACGACGUGUGCGGCUCUUUGGAGGAGUGGCUCCAUGCAUUGCCAACAAUCGAGGAGUUAGAGUUGCCCCCACAGAUGCAAGUCAUAUUUAACAAGCACAAAGAGCUCCAUGCCAGAGAACUUAAUGUUGCAUUCAGCUCACUUGGGAGGGUCUUGCAAGGCAUGUACUGCAAGCGAAUGGGCCUAAUUUUGUCUGAGGCACACAAAGCUGAGUGCAGCAUUCAUGGACAGAGAGCCGAAGGUGAAGGCAUCACUUUCAGUGUACCAGGGGGUCUUCUACUACAGGCAUGUCUGAUGGGACUGCAACUGAACCUUUUGCGCAACAGCCCAAGCAUCCGGAGCAGCCCAACAUUCAUCAUGUCACUGUACCACCUCCGCAACAGCCCAAGCAACCAACCACUGCCACUGUACCAUCUCCGCAACAGCCCAAGCAACCAGCCACUGCCACUCUACCAUCUCCGCAAC